UACGUAGGGUGCAAGCGUUAAUCGGAAUUACUGGGCGUAAAGCGUGCGCAGGCGGUUAUGUAAGACAGGUGGGAAAUCCCCGGGCUUAACCUGGGAACUGCAUUUGUGACUGCAUAGCUAGAGUAUGGUAGAGGGGGAUGGAAUUCCGCGUGUAGCAGUGAAAUGCGUAGAUAUGUGGAGGAACACCGAUGGCGAAGGCAGCCCCCUGGGUCAAGACUGACGCUCAUGCACGAAAGCGUGGGGAGCAAACAGG
RNAcentral lists this ribosomal RNA (253 nucleotides) under uncultured bacterium. RNAcentral's name for it is "partial 16S ribosomal RNA". It matches the Rfam family "Bacterial small subunit ribosomal RNA", at positions 524 to 776 of the family's 1533-position model. The record is from RNAcentral.